UAUGAACGCUGGCGGCGUGCCUAAUACAUGCAAGUCGAGCGAACGGACGAGAAGCUUGCUUCUCUGAUGUUAGCGGCGGACGGGUGAGUAACACGUGGAUAACCUACCUAUAAGACUGGGAUAACUUCGGGAAACCGUAGCUAAUACCGGAUAAUAUUUUGAACCGCAUGGUUCAAAAGUGAAAGACGGUCUUGCUGUCACUUAUAGAUGGAUCCGCGCUGCAUUAGCUAGUUGGUAAGGUAACGGCUUACCAAGGCAACGAUGCAUAGCCGACCUGAGAGGGUGAUCGGCCACACUGGAACUGAGACACGGUCCAGACUCCUACGGGAGGCAGCAGUAGGGAAUCUUCCGCAAUGGGCGAAAGCCUGACGGAGCAACGCCGCGUGAGUGAUGAAGGUCUUCGGAUCGUAAAACUCUGUUAUUAGGGAAGAACAUAUGUGUAAGUAACUGUGCACAUCUUGACGGUACCUAAUCAGAAAGCCACGGCUAACUACGUG
Molecule: ribosomal RNA, 497 nt
Filed under: uncultured bacterium
Lineage: Bacteria
Description: partial 16S ribosomal RNA
Rfam family: Bacterial small subunit ribosomal RNA
Source: RNAcentral